This 353-nucleotide ribosomal RNA is filed under the name uncultured soil bacterium. RNAcentral's name for it is "bacterial SSU rRNA". It matches the Rfam family "Bacterial small subunit ribosomal RNA", at positions 512 to 863 of the family's 1533-position model. The record is from RNAcentral.
CAGCCGCGGUAAUACGUAGGGGGCAAGCGUUGUCCGGAAUCAUUGGGCGUAAAGAGCGUGUAGGCGGCUCGGUAAGUCUGCUGUGAAAGUCCAGGGCUCAACCCUGGAAUGCCGGUGGAAACUGUCGAGCUAGAGUCCGGAAGAGGCGAGUGGAAUUCCUGGUGUAGCGGUGAAAUGCGCAGAUAUCAGGAGGAACACCGAUGGCGAAGGCAGCUCGCUGGGACGGUACUGACGCUGAGACGCGAAAGCGUGGGGAGCAAACAGGAUUAGAUACCCUGGUAGUCCACGCCGUAAACGAUGGGCACUAGGUGUGGGGGGUGUCGACUCCCUCCGUGCCGACGCUAACGCAUUAA